GCCUUCGUAGCUUCAGCGGCCAGAGCGCGUUCCUGGUACGAACGAGGCCACGGGUUCGAGUCCCGUCGGAGGCUCCA
This 77-nucleotide transfer RNA is filed under the name Trebonia kvetii. RNAcentral describes it as "Actinobacteria bacterium 15TR583 tRNA-Thr". It matches the Rfam family "tRNA". Rfam says of the family: Transfer RNA (tRNA) molecules are approximately 80 nucleotides in length. Their secondary structure includes four short double-helical elements and three loops (D, anti-codon, and T loops). The record is from RNAcentral. Lineage: Bacteria; Bacillati; Actinomycetota; Actinomycetes; Streptosporangiales; Treboniaceae.